GUUAGAAAUUGUCUGCCAGGCUUCUGGAGGCACCUGGGCCGUGUGGGUUCACAGUGGUCAUUCAGGGAAUGGAUGGACAUGCUCCUGCAGUGCUCGGCCAAGCUCAGCCCUUGUUCAGCACACCAGCCCUGUGAGUCACACUGUCCCUGGAGGGACUGAGGAAUGUCCAGGGGUUGGUAGUGGCACAAAGGAUGGAGCCACUGAAACGCGGUGGGUGGACACAGGAAGAGGACGGCCGCACAGCGAGGCCACGCCUGGCCUGGCUCGGAGGAUGCGAGGAGGAUUCUCCAGCAGGCAGGCAUGGUCAGAGGGGCCACUGGGUAGCCAGAUAGAGUCCCUGUGCCGACCCCAUAGUCCACGGGGAGGAGCAGAGAGGCGGGUGAGGCCUGGGGAGAUGACAUCACAUGGCUGGGGCUACUCAGUGGUGAAGGAAGAGACAAAGCGGGACACUGCUCUGGCUACUGGGGGGAGCAGUGGUCCUUCCCACCUCUUGUGCCAGGUACAGCACUGGGGCCUGGGACCAGGACGAGCCUCAGAACACGGCUGGUGAGCACACCCACCUCCACCUGCACCCAUCCCCGCUCCCCACACACACCACACACACACUCAUCACACACACACUCAUCACACACACACCACACACACUCAUCACACACAUGCUCAUCACACACACCACACACACUCAUCACACACAUGCUCAUCACACACUCAUCACACACACACCACACACACUCAUCACACACAUGCUCAUCACACACACCACACACACUCAUCACACACAUGCUCAUCACACACACCACACACACUCAUCACACACGCUCAUCACACACACUCAUCACACACACCACACACUCAUCACACACAUGCUCAUCACAUACCACACACACACUCAUCACACACACACCACACACACUCAUCACACACAUGCUCAUCACACACACCACACACACUCAUCACACACAUGCUCAUCACACACUCAUCACACACACACCACACACACUCAUCACACACAUGCUCAUCACACACACCACACACACUCAUCACACACAUGCUCAUCACAUACCACACACACACUCAUCACACACAC
RNAcentral lists this long non-coding RNA (1087 nucleotides) under Homo sapiens (human). RNAcentral's name for it is "HSALNT0198682". Lineage: Eukaryota; Metazoa; Chordata; Mammalia; Primates; Hominidae. The record is from RNAcentral.